This 1881-nucleotide long non-coding RNA is filed under the name Chrysolophus pictus (golden pheasant). RNAcentral describes it as "lncRNA (ENSCPIG00010011348.1)". Lineage: Eukaryota; Metazoa; Chordata; Aves; Galliformes; Phasianidae. The record is from RNAcentral.
GUUACAUUUGCUUUCCAUCUUGUUAGGGCCUAAGACACUGCACUGAUGUUAUGAAUGUCAAACGGUUCACUUCCUGAAAAUGAAUCUUCCAGUUGUUGUGUGGGGGUUCCUGUCAGGAGGGGCAGAGCUCUGUGGCGGGGGUAAUGUUCCUGUCAGGAGGGGCAGAGCUCUGUGGCACCCAUCAGCCUGUGUGUAAAGAGGUGGGGAGAGUCACCUCCUUGGCAGCUGUUUGCACCGUUCCACUGGGGCAGGAUCUGGUCAAGGUGGUCUGAUUUGGAGUGGCCAUUCAUUCCCUGUGCUCACAUAGUAUGCAAUCUCUCUAAUCCAGAUUACUUCCCACACGGUGUGUCAUCUGGCUCAGGUGUAUGCAGGACAGCCCCUGGAACUCCUGAAAUGACAUUCUCUGCUUUGACUUCCAAUUAGAGCUACAGCAGCAACUGGAUGAAGUCACAUCAAAAGUACAGGUUCUCCAGGAUGAGCUCAGCAUCCUUCGGACCUUCACAGAUCUAAACCAAGCUAUGCAGAUAGUCCUCCUGCUGUCCAACGUCCAAAACCUGAAGAAGCAACAGCAGGAUGAGAUAGAUGAGACAGAAAAAAUGGGAAAGGCCAUUCUGGAGGAACUGGAAGAAAAAUCACAGCUAGAACAAGAAGAGAUAUUACAGAAAGUCGCGGAGGAGGUGUUGCUGCACCAGGAUGGGCUGAAGCAGAUGGUCAUCAACAAUCACAUUCUUCGACAUGAAAUAAGAAGACAAAAAGAGAUUAUUAAAGACCUGGAAGAGGAGAUCAGCGAGCUGAAAAGAAGCGUCCAGACACUCCGCCAGAGUGCAAGAGACCCAAGAGAGAUGAUCUUCGCUGACGUUUUUCUCCACAGACCAAAGUAAGCCAGUGAAUUCCCAGAGAAGUAAGGCUGGUCGAUGGGCAGGCACAUGCCUUUCUCUAUGGCCUUGGGUAGGAAAAGUCUGGUGUUGAGCCUUAGUGCAACUGCCACAGAUACCACUGUCAAACCUACGUGCAGUCUGGGAUAUAAACUCACAGCUUACUGUUGUCCUGCUGGGACAGAUUGCUGCCAGCUCUCAUGGCUUGCCUAACAGCAGCUAGGAAGCAGCCAAAAUAACAGCAGUGUGCUGUCAGCUUUGGUCGCUUCUCAUCUCACUUCUAGGCUUCCUUUUGUCCAUCCUGUAAGUGGUGAUAAUUAUUGACUGCAGGAACAGGCAGGAGAAGCAGCAAAGCUUUUCAAGGCCCUCGUGAACUACAUCCAUUCUUACUUUAUUUUUCUUUUCUGUCUGUGUUUGGGAAGCAAAACUAAAGGGAGGUGGCCAAGCUCCUGCGGAAGGCAGGACUUACCCAUCUCAAGCCACUUUGCUGGUUGUGUGAAAUGGCACGAGCAGUCUGUGGGAACAAAGAUGGGCAGCCAUUUCCCUAAUAUGUUAAAAAAAAAAAAAAAAAAAAAGGUCUGAGGCAUUCAUUGGCAGCAAAAAAGCAAGACUUUGUUGUCUUUCCCAGCGCUCUUUCUCUGCCCUCGUUCAUUGGUAGCUGAUUACUUGCAGAACGGAGGCUGUGGUUAAUCUCCACUCCCUCCUACCAGUGUGCACAGUGUUUAUGCUGGAUAUUAAAGUUAUGAAGGGCAAGGAGAAUCCUUGCUGUUUGUUGACGGGGAGAAGGCUCUGCCAGACGGCUCACGGGACCAUGGGGCUAUCCUCUCCAGGGCUGAUGGACAGGCUGGCCAAGUCUGUAGGCUGAGGUAAACCAGCAGCCUGCUGUGACAAGUUAUUUUCCACCACAGCCAUGGUAGGAGCCCAUCCCAGCAAACAGAAGCUGGAGGCCUGAUGCUGCACCUUGUCCCACAGUGGGUUCUGCCCAGAGCACAGAUGAUUCAGAGCA